This 73-nucleotide transfer RNA is filed under the name Trichonephila clavata. It matches the Rfam family "tRNA". Rfam says of the family: Transfer RNA (tRNA) molecules are approximately 80 nucleotides in length. Their secondary structure includes four short double-helical elements and three loops (D, anti-codon, and T loops). Lineage: Eukaryota; Metazoa; Arthropoda; Arachnida; Araneae; Nephilidae. The record is from Rfam by way of RNAcentral.
GUCCCUGUAGCGCAAUGGAUAGCGCGUUGGACUUUUAAUCCAAAGGUCGUGGGUUCCAAUCCCUCCUAGGAUG